RNAcentral lists this transfer RNA (72 nucleotides) under Candidatus Epulonipiscium sp. Its description in RNAcentral is "tRNA-Gln". It matches the Rfam family "tRNA". From Rfam's summary of the family: Transfer RNA (tRNA) molecules are approximately 80 nucleotides in length. Their secondary structure includes four short double-helical elements and three loops (D, anti-codon, and T loops). Lineage: Bacteria; Bacillati; Bacillota; Clostridia; Lachnospirales; Lachnospiraceae. The record is from RNAcentral.
UGGGUAGUAGCCAAGCGGUAAGGCACAGGACUUUGACUUCUGUAUGCGUAGGUUCGAAUCCUACUUACCCAA